AGCAGCCGCGGUAAUUCCAGCUCCAAUAGCGUAUAUUAAAGUUGUUGCAGUUAAAAAGCUCGUAGUUGAAUUUCGGGAUCAAAUUGUCGGUCGUGCCUCGGUACGCACUGGUAUUAUUGGUUCCUACCUUCUGAAGAACCGCGAUGUCAUUAAUUUGGUGUCGUGGGGAAUCAGGACUGUUACUUUGAAAAAAUUAGAGUGUUUAAAGCAGGCUUACGCUUGAAUACAUUAGCAUGGAAUAAUGAAAUAGGACGUUUGAUUCUAUUUUGUUGGUUUCUAGGAUUGACGUAAUGAUUAAUAGGGAUAGUUGGGGGGCAUUAGUAUUCAAUUGUCAGAGGUGAAAUUCUUGGAUUUAUUGAAGACUAACUACUGCGAAAAGCAUUUGCCAAGGAUGUUUUUCAUUAAUCAAGAACGAAAGUUAGGGGAUCGAAGACGAUCAGAUACCGUCGUAGUCUUAACCAUAAACUAUGCCGACUAGGGAUCGGAUGAUGUUAAUUUUUUUAAUGACUCAUUCGGCGCC
RNAcentral lists this ribosomal RNA (520 nucleotides) under uncultured Glomus. Its description in RNAcentral is "SSU rRNA". It matches the Rfam family "Eukaryotic small subunit ribosomal RNA", at positions 569 to 1087 of the family's 1831-position model. The record is from RNAcentral. Lineage: Eukaryota; Fungi; Glomeromycota; Glomeromycetes; Glomerales; Glomeraceae.